AACGCUAGCGGCAGGCUUAACACAUGCAAGUCGAGGGGUAACAUUGUGCUUGCACAGAUGACGACCGGCGCACGGGUGCGUAACGCGUAUAGAACCUACCUUUUACAGAGGAAUAGCCUUUAGAAAUGAAGAUUAAUGCCUCAUAGUAUUGUAGACUGGCAUCAGUUUAUAAUUAAAGAUUUAUCGGUAAAAGAUGGCUAUGCGUCCUAUUAGUUAGUUGGUAAGGUAACGGCUUACCAAGACAGCGAUAGGUAGGGGUCCUGAGAGGGAGAUCCCCCACACUGGUACUGAGACACGGACCAGACUCCUACGGGAGGCAGCAGUGAGGAAUAUUGGACAAUGGAGGAGACUCUGAUCCAGCCAUGCCGCGUGUAGGAAGAAUGCCCUAUGGGUUGUAAACUACUUUUAUACAGGAAGAAACACUGGUAUGUAUACCAGCUUGACGGUACUGUAAGAAUAAGGACCGGCUAA
This 471-nucleotide ribosomal RNA is filed under the name uncultured Polaribacter sp. RNAcentral describes it as "bacterial SSU rRNA". It matches the Rfam family "Bacterial small subunit ribosomal RNA", at positions 32 to 500 of the family's 1533-position model. The record is from RNAcentral. Lineage: Bacteria; Pseudomonadati; Bacteroidota; Flavobacteriia; Flavobacteriales; Flavobacteriaceae.